This is a non-coding RNA of Lactuca sativa (garden lettuce), 1982 nucleotides long. The record is from RefSeq and is a predicted model, not a curated record. Lineage: Eukaryota; Viridiplantae; Streptophyta; Magnoliopsida; Asterales; Asteraceae.
UUCUUUUAACAAUUGAGAGUGUGUUCCGUUAAUUUUUCCCUUGCUUUACACGUGUCGGGUAUUAACUUCCUCACUCAUCGUUGUGAUUCGCCAAAAUUGCCACAUCAACUCCCUGUUAGUGACCCUUGCCUCCCUCAGCCCUCCUCCAACGUCGUUUCCCUCUCCGACAUAGGGAAAAGCCUCCUUUGUGGAGAACCCACAGAGCAGAGAUUCUUUUCUACUUCAAAGCUCGACCAGAAGAUGGAGUUGGUCAGUGAGAUCGAAGAGGGAGAUAUUGACAGGAGAAGACGGGAAAACCGAUAAACACAACAGUUGUGUCGCUACUGCUGCUGUUCAUCCUUCCUAACCCUUCUUACAACAGCUUCUCGGUUACUUCUGAUUCCGACCUGGACAGUUUAAUGGUAUCUAAGGUUUAUCUAUAUUGCCUCUCACCCUGUGUCGGACACUCAGAAGUAUUUUCCCGUUUUGGUUUUUAUAUGUGAUUCUAAAGUGUAAAUUUUAAUGGUCAGAAGGUGUUUGUUGUUUUGCUUAUAUAAAAUUGUAAAGGUGAAAUGUUCAAUCUUGGAUUUAAUAAAGGUUGGUGUAGAUUGGAUGUGGAUGAACCUUCCUGAAGCUUAGAAGGUGAAGAUGUUCUACAAAUUGGUCGUCUUUUUGUUCAUAAUCUGCUAUACGGUGCUACGGAAGAUGAUAUGAGAGAGCACUUCAGCAACUUUAACAGUAUCUAAAUCCAAUUUGGUGGUUGAUAAAGACACAAAACGAUCAAAGGGGAAUGGUUAUAUUCUCGAUACACUACCAGAAUCUGGCACUAGAAGAUCUUCAUAAUUCUAUCUUUCAAUGAAGGCUUUUGCACGUUAUGCUAGCAAAGGAGAAAAUUGUUCUUAUGAAAGAAGAGUAACCAUCAGUAGACCAUUAUUUUAUUGUUUUUUCUCCUAAUGAUCUCAUCAAUUUAAUUAUAUUUUGUUGGAUUAAUGAUUGUGCUACUCAUACAAAUGUAUUUAAGGAACAAAGGGAGGAUAGAAGGAAGAAAUAUAAAAGUAGUGCAUAACUGCAGAUACAAAACCAGCCAGAAAAGUAUUAUCCAGCAACUUGUAUUCGCAGAUGGUCACAUACAGAUUGGCAUUUUACUCUGUGAAGAUGUUUUUUACUCUCAUUACAUAACUUUGGAUCGGCCAAAGGCUUCUCCUUCCAAAAGUUGAGAACUUACUUCUCGUGUCAAAAACUGAAGAUUCUAAUAUAAAGCUUACUGAAUUCGGUAUUUCUAACUUCAUCAAGCCAGGGGAAUCAUAUCAUGUACCUGGAACAGAUGGUGUAGGAACCAAACUUAAGCUGGCAUUAGAGACUGGAAUCAAUGAUUCCAUUGGAAUUGAUUUGAUAGGAAUGAGCGUGAAUGACAUCAUCACAUCUACAGCAAAGCCUUUAUUCUUUCUUGAUUACUAUGCAACAAGUUGCAGUCAUGUUGAUCUUGUUGAAAAGGUUAUAAAAGGAACUUUUAAUGGUUGCCAACAAUUUGACUCUGCUCUUGUGGGUGGGGAGACUGCAGAAAUGCCAGAUUUUUAUGCAGAAGUUGAAAGCUCCAAUGAAAGUGUUUGGUGAUUUACAUGGACAGUUAGGUGAUCUCAUGCGCCUCUUUGAUGGAUACGUAUUUCCUUCUACUGCUAGAGACAACAUAUAUUGACUAAAUAUUCAUAGGCGAUUAUGUUGAAUGGGGUCAACAUAGCUUGGAGACUAUCACAUUGUUUCUUGCCUUAAAGGUGGGAAUCGUGUAUUUACUUUUAAGAAAGUUUUUAGUUGUUGAUAUCGUCUUCAUCAGGGUGUCAAAUUUUCAAAGUUCCCGUUCUCAAUUAAAUAUAUUGAGCUUUGGAGUAUGGUCCAUCCAAAGAUUACACACGGAAAAUAUUUGUAGACAUGCACUAUCAACUGCUCUAUCUAAUCCAUGAGAACUUAGAAGAAGUUGAAAAAGUAAAUCUUAAAAUUGAACGUCA